This 497-nucleotide ribosomal RNA is filed under the name uncultured bacterium. RNAcentral's name for it is "partial 16S ribosomal RNA". It matches the Rfam family "Bacterial small subunit ribosomal RNA", at positions 28 to 507 of the family's 1533-position model. The record is from RNAcentral.
GAUGAACGCUGGCGGCGUGCCUAAUACAUGCAAGUCGAGCGAACAGAUAAGGAGCUUGCUCCUUUGACGUUAGCGGCGGAUGGGUGAGUAACACGUGGAUAACCUACCUAUAAGACUGGGAUAACUUCGGGAAACCGGAGCUAAUACCGGAUAACAUAUUGAACCGCAUGGUUCAAUAGUGAAAGGCGGCUUUGCUGUCACUUAUAGAUGGAUCCGCGCCGUAUUAGCUAGUUGGUAAGGUAACGGCUUACCAAGGCAACGAUACGUAGCCGACCUGAGAGGGUGAUCGGCCACACUGGAACUGAGACACGGUCCAGACUCCUACGGGAGGCAGCAGUAGGGAAUCUUCCGCAAUGGGCGAAAGCCUGACGGAGCAACGCCGCGUGAGUGAUGAAGGUCUUCGGAUCGUAAAACUCUGUUAUCAGGGAAGAACAAAUGUGUAAGUAACUGUGCACAUCUUGACGGUACCUGAUCAGAAAGCCACGGCUAACUACGUG